CCUACGGGAGGCAGCAGUGGGGAAUAUUGGACAAUGGGCGAAAGCCUGAUCUAGCCAUGCCGCGUGCAGGAUGACGGCCCUAUGGGUUGUAAACUGCUUUUAUACAGGAAGAAAAAACUCUACGUGUAGAGUCUUGACGGUACUGUAAGAAUAAGGAUCGGCUAACUCCGUGCCAGCAGCCGCGGUAAU
RNAcentral lists this ribosomal RNA (189 nucleotides) under uncultured bacterium. Its description in RNAcentral is "partial 16S ribosomal RNA". It matches the Rfam family "Bacterial small subunit ribosomal RNA", at positions 338 to 524 of the family's 1533-position model. The record is from RNAcentral.